UGAGUAACCUGCCCUCGGCACCGGAAUAGCCCGGGGGAAACCCGGAUUAAUGCCGGAUAGCCCCUCCGCCUUACGGGGCGGCGGGAAAAGGUAGCUUUGGCCUCUGGCCGAGGAUGGGCUCGCGGCGGAUUAGCUUUGUUGGCGGGGUAAUGGCCCACCAAGGCGACGAUCCGUAGCUGGUCUGAGAGGACGAUCAGCCACACUGGGACUGAGACACGGCCCAGACCUCCGUACGGGAGCAG
This 242-nucleotide ribosomal RNA is filed under the name uncultured bacterium. Its description in RNAcentral is "partial 16S ribosomal RNA". It matches the Rfam family "Bacterial small subunit ribosomal RNA", at positions 118 to 347 of the family's 1533-position model. The record is from RNAcentral.